AUACGGAGGGUGCGAGCGUUAUUCGGAAUCACUGGGCGUAAAGGACGCGUAGGCGGGUUGGCAAGUCAGAUGUGAAAUCCUACAGCUUAACUGUAGAACUGCAUUUGAAACUGCUAACCUAGAGUAUGGGAGGGGGAGAUGGAAUUAGUGGUGUAGGGGUAAAAUCCGUAGAUAUCACUAGGAAUACCGAAAGCGAAGGCGAUCUCCUGGAACAUAACUGACGCUAAGGCGUGAAAGCGUGGGGAGCAAACAGGAUUAGAAACCCUUGUAGUCC
Molecule: ribosomal RNA, 274 nt
Filed under: uncultured bacterium
Lineage: Bacteria
Description: partial 16S ribosomal RNA
Rfam family: Bacterial small subunit ribosomal RNA
Source: RNAcentral